AAGUCGUAACAAGGUCUCCGUAGGUGAACCUGCGGAGGGAUCAUUACACAACAAAAUAUGAAGGCCUGGCUUCGCGGCCGGCUGAAAUAUUUUUUCACCCAUGUCUUUUGCGCACUUGUUGUUUCCUGGGCGGGUUCGCCCGCCACCAGGACCAAACCAUAAACCUUUUUUUUAUGCAGUUACCAUCAGCGUCAGUAAAAACAAUGUAAUUAAUUACAACUUUCAACAACGGAUCUCUUGGUUCUG
Molecule: unclassified non-coding RNA, 246 nt
Filed under: Bipolaris microstegii
Lineage: Eukaryota; Fungi; Ascomycota; Dothideomycetes; Pleosporales; Pleosporaceae
Also listed under: 1 other name
Description: partial internal transcribed spacer region
Rfam family: Eukaryotic small subunit ribosomal RNA (bases 1-46)
Source: RNAcentral